UACACCAUAGCUCAUGGCAACACUGGAUCCUUAACCCACUGAGCAAGGCCAGGGAUCUAACCCGCAUCCUCACAGAUACUUGUCGGAUUUGUUAACCACUGAGCCACGAAGGGAUCUCCCAGAGAGUAUACAUCUUAUAAAUAGCCACUUAACAGCACAAGGGUGCCAAACUGGUGUUAGCUGUGUGCUCAGCCAAGCUCAAGCCUUUGAAGCACGAGGCACUUAUGAUGCAAUAAAUUACUGACUUAAGUGCAAAAGUAAAUAUGAUAGGCUUUCUCAGCACUCUGCUGUUAGAAUAACAAGUGAGACACAUGUUGGAAAUUAUCAGACACUUUAUGGUGGGCCUCUUUUGCUGAAAUGGUUUCUGUGCCUCUGCUGUCCACACACAUAGCAUAAGGCCAUAGAUGUUUGAAGACAUACAUUAACUUAGCUUAUUUUAAAAACCGUUUGAAAUAUUUAGUGCUGUCAUUGAGCUGUUUGCUUUGCUAAUUGAAGGUUCACAAGCCCUCUGUCUUCACCAGGCAACAUCUUCAUCAUCACUGCCAUGUGUGCCAGUGGGCAUUUGGAGUAAAAAUACCCUUUCCUUUUCACUAUACUAAUGCCACCGCCUCAUACACUACAAGGCCUUUUAGGUCUCAGAGCUUUUGUAAAUUUGACGCCUUCUUUCUGAAUAUGGCAUUUAGGAAAGAAGGUUGUUUUGUCGUUAUUCAUUUUCCUAUAAACCUAAUAACAUGAAAACGCUGUGUGUAGACUUUUCUUUGGUCCCUGUAAAUGCAGCUGUGACAGAUUCUACGUUCCCCACAAUGGCUGCUGUCCCUUCUACUCUCCUAGAGCCUUGACCUCUAUGUCCCCCCUGUGAGUCUGGGUGGACCUUUACAAGGAUCUCGGCCAGCAGAGUGUGAUGGAAAUGAAGCUGCGUGGCUUUGGGGGUUGGGUCAGAACAAGGUUUCACGGUCUUCACUCGCUUUGGGAACACAGCCGUCAAUGCUGUGGGGACGCCCAAAUCGGCCCAUGUGCGAAGGCCAUACUGGUGCUCUUGCGGACUCAGGGUAAAGUCCCAGCCUACCGCCAGCAUCCAUUACCAGACAGGGUGUGAAGAUGCCACGAGCAUUCCAGCUUCGGGUCACCUGGACAUUGAGAGGCAGAGACAGGUGGUCCUCAUGGUGCCUCCCGGACCCCAACCUGAGUCCAUGAGCAGGAUGAAAAGGUCAUUUCAUGUCACCAGGUGCAGGGUGGUUUGCUCUGCAGAAAUAUCUGGAUCAGCAUCCUACAUCGGAGACAGAGGUUUAUCAGAAACCCGGGAGCAGGUGUGGUGUGUAUAGGACUUCCCUGGAGAUGGCUGAGUUUGAGGAAAUCGCAGAAGCCUCCUGAGGUGGCCGGCUUUCCCUUCGGUCAAAGCCCGAGGGUGUUUCUUGGGGGGCUCAGGGUUCAUAGCUUUUAUCACAGGUGCCCUUCUGACGAGUCCCCACUUCAACCUCAGGGCCUCGACUUCGGCACGUGCAGACCUUGACUUUCCUUGGCCCCUGCGGGGUGUGAACGCAGGUCUGGGUUCCCGCUUCCUCCACCUGGGCGCUCCCAACUGCGAACGACAUUCUGGGAGCUUAGACAAGAAAGUGAGGCUGGGUCACCUUGCACGGGGGUCAGAGCAAAGCGUGUCCUGCUCAUGGUCUAGGAGGCGACUUCGCUUUGAUCCCUGGAACUCUGCAGCCUGAGAAGCCAAUGCUGCCGCAGCAGCAGGUGAGGGCUAUUCUAUUACACAGUGACAAUCCACUAUGUAUCUGAUGUACAAACAUUAAAAUAAGGACAGUGUGUGGGUAGGGUCCUUCAGUUGUGGGUGCACGUGUGCAUGUAUGUCUGUGGGCACACCUGCACUUGCCUGGCUCUGUUUAUGUUAUGUAAAGAGCAGCUCCCAGGAGAUGGUCUGUGCAUGGGAGCUCGGAGCGCAGGCAGAGAAGGGAGGCUGGGAGGUGUCUUGGGUCCUUGAACUUUCUCUCUGCUCUUCCUUUAUGGGUGAGUCGUUGCUGCCGAUGCUGGAAGAUGCCCGCUCACUUGGCUGUAGGGCACGUGCAAAGGAUAGAAAGGCAAAGGAGGAGGGAAGGAAGUAAGAAGGAAAGAAGAGACUCCUCCCGAAAGAAGAAAGGUCACUGCAGCUAUUUUCCGACUGUAAAACCUCCCAUUAGCUUUAUUACAUGGAGGACAUUAGCAUUAUGCACGGCGGGGAAGGGCAUUUUCACAAAGGGCAUCCUUUUUCCAGUUUCCAGAGAUGAGAGUAAGAUAUGAAGGUAAUGAACGCGCUGUUGGGAUGAUGUCUUUUUCUCCUCUAGGCUUUGUGGGCUGGCAGAGUAACAGGCUGGUAGGGGCAUAAUUUGUGGGUCAGAAAUGACUCAAGAGAGAGAAGGACAGCAGCUGAGCCCUUGGGGCCAGCAAGGCUGAAUUCUGAUCUGAAGAGACGAUGCAGGACCACCCCUGGGCCACCCCUCAGGGUCUCCCAGGAUCACCCCUCCCAUGUCCCCAGGACCACCCCCUGGCUCCCUGAGGCAAACGCCUUCCCCUGGAGCUGUGGCCCCUGUUCACAAUUGGGAGAGAUGCCAAAUUUCAGUUAGAAGUUGAUGAAAGUCACUCAUUCCCACUCAUCAUUUCCAGAGGGUCAGCCUGACCUUGUAGGGGUUGGGCCCUGCCCUCUGGAGGACAAUCCGUGUGUGCAUGGUCCCUGAGCCAAAGGAAGGGUGUUUAGGACUCGGGAGAGCAGGAGGUAGGGGUGAAAGUGGGUGAAAGCUAAUGCUUAUUUUAGGGACGGUGCGGGGGUGACUGUACCCUGUGCCCUGUGUUCCAGACAAAGCUGCCUAUGAGGAGAGGCCGCCUGGAGGGGAGAAGCCACUCAGCGUGUCCCGGAGCAGGACAGGGAACAGCCGCCCUCAGAAGCAAUAACGUUGCCAUGGAAACGUCUGAGCAUCCAUACUUCCUAGGACUUUCCCGGACACCUCACACGCUAAGGUAUUGUUACCUUCUGUUUACUUCUUUCCCUGACAUGCCUGCUGGGUUACAUGAAUCUUCGUGUAAGAAAAACUCUAACUCUAUUCUGAGAACUUAAAUGAAUGAAGCAGGGCUCCUCCUUGACAACAGCUUGUCAGUUGGUACCGAAACCAUCUUUCUGUCUUAUUUACUCCCCGAGCACUUUUGAGAAGGACCGUGGAGGGCUGGUUAUUUCCUAGUUGCUUCCUGAAGUCUCAGCGAUUCUGCUGCCCUGAUCACUGCAGGGUCUCAGCUCAGGAACUUUUGUUAGCUGCCCUCAGAGGGGCUCUUUGCAGGGUUGGAGGUUUCACCAGCCCCUGUUCCUGGACCUGCUUCUCUGUUUCCGUUUUUACACCAACCAAAGUGUGUUUACUGGACUCUUUUACACGAGCACCUCAUCCUCUGGUGACACUGCCAGGCUGGAAAGCGAGGCAGCCCCCUGCCCCAAGCUCGGGAGACCACAGACCACAGGAGCUGAAGCCCUUAAGUCAUGCUCUUUGACGAUAACAAAUGAUUAUUAUAAUUCUAUGCUCGGAGCUGAGGGGGAAGAGCUCUGAGUUUAGAUAUAUUUAGAAAUAUACCUCAGGUUGAUUCUGCUUUAAGCCUUCCUUUUGGCUUUUGAAUUCCGUUAAGUUUCUGGGAAAUGAAAUUGAUUGCCUUGCGGGUUAGUCAAAGGUUGUGCCAAGACCACUUUAAUGUCCUGCUGCCCAGGCCAUGCUUCGGUUUUACUGCUUGUCCAGUGCCUGCGUGGGGCCCGGGACAUCCCUUCUGCUCGCGCUCCUGCUUGGGGGACAAGGGCAGCAGGCGGAUCUGCCAGGGGCCACAAUCUUCCGCACUAGAGCAGCAGGGUGUUGGGGGCUCGCCUAACAUUAAGCGACUGUAUUCUGUCCUAAGUCAGGGCAGCCUCUCCCUAAGGCCCAGCUGGAGGCGAUGCUCCUGUCUGCUGAGGAAGGGCCGCCCUCUGGUGAAAUGAGCCCAGUCACUCCGGCCUCCCUGGUCCUGGGGCGGGGGGGACAGAAGCAACGAGGAAUUUUCAGACAGAAUUGGCCUUUCUCAUGAAAGGCUCUUAUGCCAAGAAUGGAGGUGAGUAGAAUGCAUCUGCCUUUGGCCACUCAGGUGUGUACAAAGCUUGAUAGAUGAGUGGGUGCAAUGUCCUUGGGGCAACAUGUCCUUGUUAUUGUCAUCAGGUGGUCACUCGGCUGUCAGCACAGAUGCCAAGAAUUUGGAAAAGCAUGUGCCCUCAUGUGGACCUGUGAUUGCAGGACAGGGCUCCUGCAUCCCUGCAUUUAGCUCAUAACUCCCAAAUUACAGGGUCCUCCCCUGAACCCAGAGCCAGUCCUUGCACGUGUGCGGUGGGCGCCACAGAAGGAAACAGCCAGAAAUGCCCGGAGCAUUUCCCGAAGGCCCCAAUGCUAAGUAUCAGGGUCACAGAGCUCCCCCAGGGGGACCGAGGGUCAGGCGGGCCAAGGGAGGGUCCAGCGAGGCAGUGUGGGGGGCCCGCUGUAGGGGUGGGUCUUGGGGCAGUGAGGGGCAGAGACUUGAGUCUGGACCAGAGGGGCUCUGGGCUCUUUGGCAGACCAAACGAGAGCCACAGAGUCCUGCGAGCUGGGGACCUGCACGGGCCCAUCUGCCUGCAGGGCCUGGGGGCCUGUAUUCAAAGGGGAGAUGCUGCUGGGAACAGGGUCCUGAGCUGAAACAGCUAAAGCCUCAGACAAGAGGUUCUGAGCCCAGGAGACCAAUGAAGGAGCUGAGGGAGGAGUGGUGAGGAUGAGCCUUGCAGCGGAGAACAGGAGGACUCAGCCCAGAGGGCCUGGUGGACCGAGGGGCGGUGGGUGGGGCGGAGGCCCUGGCGGCUGUGCUAUUGGAGUCUUGAACAUGAGCUAACACUGGUUCCAUCCCUGGAAAAAAGCACCCUCUGUUGGUGCCCAGAACACCCUGAGCAUCUCCAGGUCCACACGUGGGAGCAGAUUCCAGAUGCUUCCCCGGAAUUGUGCCUGGAGGGCCAGCCCACGGCAGAAGCAGCCCUUUGCCCAAAGCACUGAGCUCCCAGCUCCUGCAUCUGCUGCAACUGCAGGGUCCACACAGAUGCACCCCGGAGGCAAGGCUACAGAGGGCGCGUCCUCACCUCCUGCUGCGAGGGACCGGCCUCCCCAGGAAGCCAAGCACAGCUUUGGGAAGCACACCCCGCAUGUCCUGAGCAGAUGGGCAGCCCCCACAGGGAGAGGCCUCCUUCAGACUCCAGCGCGGCUGCUGAACUCCCCUGCCCGGCUCUCCUGAUUCGACGCUCAUGCAUCAUAAAUCAAGCCACGCUGUGAGCGGUCCCUGCCAGAUACCCCGCCAAUUACCUAAAAACUAGCUUAAGGGCCAAAGCAAUCAGGCUGCCUGACUCUGAGCGUCCUUGGUGGGCGAGCGUGACUCGGGCUCCCUGCUGCGUGGGAACCUGGCCCAGGUCUGGCUCAUCAGCCCUCCCCCUGUGCCUCGCUGCACGAACACUUUCCCAGGGCCCCUGACUAGCCUGCCCAGGAUCCUUCCAUGGACACAGAUGGCUCUGGAGGAAGAUUUUCAUCCAUUUUGGUUUUCAGACUCCACAUGUCAUUUCCAUAGGAACACAAUGCACUUUAUAUACCUCUAAAGACUUGAAAGAAUUGUUCAGAAUCCUCUCAGGAAUGCACAGAAUCACUCAGAAUUGAGCUCUAGGGACCUGCCAUCUUAAGGUGGACCUUCCGCCUGCGUUGUGUUUAGAUUCCUGGCAUGGAAACCAUCCCAGACAGCCCUGAAGCUCCUGUGGCUCUUGGUGACCAAGAAGAGACCACCAGAGACUGGUCUGAUGGUGGUGGGCAUUGUGGGCCUGGGAUGGAGGCAGGUGGUCUUGGAGGGCAGCUGGAGUAAUAGCAGAAGGGGGUGAUGGCGCAGCUUUGGGGUUCAGGCUGGCUUUGAACCCCUUACUCAGUUUGGAUGGGGUGGCAGCGCCUGGAUCUCCAGGGGUGAUUCUGUUCGAGUGGGACUAGGAUGGGCCAAUGUGGUCCCAAACGAUAUAGCUUCCUCGGGCAUCAGGGCUGUGCCAGGAUGGGGGGUGGAGGAUGGGUAGGGUCCAGGCCAAAUUUGCCACCUGCAUUUUGCUGUCCCCCAGCACAGGAUCAGUUCUAAGACACCUCUAAGUCCACAUAUCUUGCUGUUUCCUGGAUCCCUAAGCAAUCUGCAGUCAUGUCAUCCAAGAACUUGUGGCUUCAUCAUUUACAUCGGAAUUACUUGUGAGGCAGCCGGCCCCACAGUUCCUGAUAAGCUCAUGCUGAGCAUGAGGCUCCUUUGACCCUGACCAUGUGUGUGCGUGGACAUCGCUGCAACACAGUCAGGGGUGUAGAGCAGAUCUGUAUGAGCACGCACUGCAGUGGUGUUUCAAGGACUCCUUCCUAUUUAUAUGUAAUUUAAAUAAAAUUAAAGGUUAGGCAUAAACAAUCCCCAUCUGAAAGGACAGACGGUACAAUAAGAAUGAGGAGCAUUACACAUGCUCUGCAGGUCACAGCACAUGCUGUGCUCAAGGUAAUUUUUCCAGCUCUAGAUUCAGCAUCUUCUAGCUCUCCCUCUGGGAUUCAUGCAACCCUCAAGAGUCAGAAAAUGUCUAAGCUCCUCAAGGAAGCAGGAAAAGUGGGGCCCCACCGAGAGCAGCCCGCACUGGAGUCCUGAGCCUGGUCCUGUCCUCUUGCUGCGCCAGGCUCUGUGGCAGGGGUUCAAGUGUAUCGUUAUCAGUACCUUUAACGCCCACCUGCAGCUGGCCCCAUGGGUGAGGUAGCCCGGAGAGGGCUCUCCGUCAGUGAGAGACUAAAUUCCACUGAUGUCACAUCAGAAUGUCAAUCAUGCACCAAAAACAGCUCCAUUCCCAUGACAAUCUAUGAUGUACUCAUCGACCAGUGACUAAUCACAGCUGAUCCUGAAUCUGUACCUUCUGCUGGGAGUCCAGACACAGGAGGCGCUGUCCUGCCUGUGGGGUGGUGCUUCCCUUCAUGCUGUGGACAGUGAGAGGGAUCAGUGGCCUGGGCGUCCCUGUGGCUGCACCCAGACACGCCUGCGGUGGUGUCAUGGACCAGGGCACACCCAGCUGCAUGUGUCCAGACUCUGGCCAGACUGGAAUCUGCAUUCUCAGGCACGCCAAGGAUGCCAUGGGCCACCUCGCUGAAGCAGGAGGGCCUGGUGUUGCACCUUCUAUUUGCUUCUCAGGAUGUUGUAGGACCCGCACAGAGAGCCUCCAUCUCAGCAGAGAUGCGAAAGAAAAGAACAACGUGCUUCUAGAGCCUGUGUCCUCAGAGCUUUAGACACGUCACCCAAAAGCAAAAAGAUCAGGCAUUUGCAAAUAUAAUUUGAGGUAAGCAUGAAGCCAGAGGGAAGACUGUAACACACACUGAGAUUUUAGCCCUAGAUACCCAGGCACUGCGUGGGCUCUGCCCCUGGACAAUCAACAUGUGGGCUUCUCUGCUCCAGACAAAGAAUCCCCAAAUCAAGAUACUAAUUACUGAGACAACGCAUAACCUAUAACUGAAAAAAAAAAAAAAUCCCUCCAGCACACUCCAGG
Molecule: non-coding RNA, 7579 nt
Organism: Sus scrofa (pig)
Lineage: Eukaryota; Metazoa; Chordata; Mammalia; Artiodactyla; Suidae
Source: RefSeq, a predicted model, not a curated record